CCCUCUUUUGGUGGCUUUCUCCAGUGUGCUGGUGUUGGCUGUUUUAUCACUUGACACAAGGCUGAAGGGCUUUGCCUCAAAGUCUCUUCACAAGGGGGAACUAUGAGUUACCCUUACAAGUUUUUUUAUUUUUUUUUUAUUUUUUUUUUCUUUCCUGUUUUUCUCUUCUGGAUACAAAUUCUGUGCCUUGAAAUGUGAAUGUCAUCUCUUAUAUUCCUUGUGUUAACAAGGCAGGAAUGCAGUGCUGUGUUUAACACAGAAAAUGGAAAAGCCUGCUUUAAAGACUCCAGAUCUUCCUGAGACUCCUGCCUUUGAAAAGCCGUUUGUUCCAAGAUACAGACUAUUGAAGGACAAUAAACUCAGACCAGCUGUUUGCUGUUCGUGGCAGGUUUUAUAGCCACGAGUAGAUAUCGGCCUAUUUGCUGAGAAGCAAGCAAGAACUGUUGCUCAGGCUCUUUAUCAGCAAAAAUAGGGCUCCUUACACUUUGUGCCACAGCGCUGCCCUGCAAAAGGCAUAAAUAAAAACUGGGCAGUAACAGAUAUACUCUACAUGCUUUUUAAAAAGAAUCUUAAAUCCUGCUUUAAAGCUCUUCCGAGCAUCCCAUAUGUAUAUCCAAAUACAGGGGAAGCAUUUUAAAUGCAGCAGACUGAAGUGCCCUACCACUGAUGCUAAACUUACAAUCAAGGAAGAUACGAGCAUGCUGUGUGCGUAUGUCUGCUGUCAAUUUGGUGUGCACUGACGUAUUUUCCUCUGACUUCUCCUUUCCUCUUUUGAACUCCAAGCCAUCGCUCCCCCACAUUGCAAGUGACAACUUAAACACAGAGGAUCCUGUCUGUGCUCCGAAAUAAGCACAGGCCCUGUUUCCAUUUCCCCACUGCUGAUAAUGUGGUAGGAUGUAGUUCAGAAGAGCUCUCCCAGCUGCAGCCUGCAACCUGACUCCAUGAAAAGCUCUGCUAUCAAACCCGAGCAUGCCUAAACCGGUACCUUUGACUGUCUAAAUGCAGGGUGGGAUUUUUGGCUGGAUGGAUAAACGUUUUCAAAGAAGUAGGUGGAAACAUAACAUAAAGUAGGAAAAUUGCUUGAAAACUCAGACGUUUUUCAGGGUUUAGGUUCAAAUCCUCCUAUUCUUGCUUCUGCUGAAUGACACUAAUUAGCUUCCCUGGUGUUCCCCCAGCAGUGUAGGAGGAGAAAGUGAGGAUGUUGAAGUCAUGCCGCUACAUCGUUUUGCACCUGGAGGUGCUGCUUCAGCACAAGCAAUGACAGCAAGCUGUAAAAUCUUGUGUCCCUUCUGAUGCUGGGAACCCUGAGAUGAUGCAGCAUCAGACUAACCUACGCCUAUGGCCCAGCAUGCUGCAUGGACUUCCCAUUUGGGAUGAGGUUUGCCCUCACUCUGUGCUUCAGAGUUUUUAUAGGACUUUCCUAGAAGUAACGCAUGCAGCUUCCUUUAAAGAUAGAGCCAAGUGACAUGCUGGUGGCAUCACAACCAGUGCCAAGCAGGUGCCAUCUCCAGGCUUUUCCAUUGUCCUUAACUGCCUGUGUUUAAGUGUAAGGGAUGUGUGCAGGACAGCACAGACCUGAAGGCCAAGCAAUGCAUCCUCAGGUCUACUCUUAACACAAAUCACAAUCCCCUCAAUGUACCAUAGUCUGGUUAGGGCAGAUAUAUAUGUUCUGCAGUCCUAAGCAGAUGCAAAACCGGCCCAGAGGGAAGUCAUCUCCAAUCCUGGACUAAAUUUGUAAGUGGCUUAGGUUUUGUGGAGUCUUCUGGGUAAAGAGCUGCACUUACAAGAGGAGUAUUUUCCCAUCUUUCACUCUAGCUGCGUGUCAGUGAGAAGUCCCAUUUUGGCCAAGAAUAUGAAAUGCAAAACAUCCUAUUGGUCUCUUUUUUUUUUUUCUCUCCUGCUGCUGUGCAAGCACAUAUCAUAAGGCUAAAAUCUGGGCUGUGCUGAGGCAGGUGGUAAAAUGCCUAUUGACUUUAACAGAGUCUGGGUUAUACUUCAAAAAUAAACUGCACAGCUAUGCAAUAAAUGAAUUCAAUGUCCCAGAUGCAAACUUGUACAUUUAAACUGGUUUAAAUUUGCAUUACUCUGCAUUUAUAGCAGUACUAUGGGACUAUAAGUUAUUCCAGUUUUCCCUAUAUAUUGUUGAUAAACAGAUGCCAAACUAAAUCCACCUAAACCCCCAAACUAGGGGCACACAAUUCAAUUAUCAAUUGUGUGCAAGAUGUGCAAGCUGCUAGAAGUAGCUUCUAUCAAAUGUGUGCCCAGAGGCUCAGUAAUGGAUAUGGUGUUUUGAUUGCUAGUUUGGUUCUGUAGCACUGUCCAUACUUUCCUUACGCAUACAUCCUUGACUUAUAUUCCUGCAUAGUUGUAGGCUCAUUUCUUUGUUCCUAAAAUACUUAGAAGGGAAAGUAAAGGAAAGAUUAAAAUCAUUGUCUAAUUUUGUAUGAGCAGAAGGUUUUUUGGCAUAGAUCUACAGUAAAACAGGCGUUAUUGACAGCUUUGUCAAAUUUCCCAUAUGGACGGUUUCUCCUGAUUUCCAGGCAGUUACAAAUAAUGGGAGUGAAAGAUCUCUGCAGCUUGGCUGACAAGGCUGAAACAAGAAACAUGUAUGUGGCUUACUUUGGAGAGCUUAUAAUUUAUGGGGCCGUUGUCUUGCUUGCCCAAGGAACUGACAGGUUGUCUUUCACCACAAAGCAGCUCAGGCUGAAUUGGGACCACCACAAAUAAUCACAAAGUGGCUUUCAUGAAUGAGCAUGUGGUGCAGCCCAAGUAAAGCUUGCAAUGUCAGGGAGGAUGGAGCAAAGCUUUAUGUUCAGAAUGUGUUCAACACAGUCUGUUUCACCUGGUUUUGCUGUCCUACAGUCUCAUUUUCAAUGCACAGUAAAAGCAGCUCUAAGGAAAGGGAAGCUUGCCAGCUCGACUAGACAUCUUUUAUAUGGUGAAGAUGGCUGUGGCAGUGACAAUCUGUUUAUUAAAAUCUCUGAGUGUGUGUAAUUAUAGAGUACUGUGUGAUGAAUAAAGAUGAAGUUGGGCACAAAGUAAAUGGUCUUUUAGAGACUUUGAGUCUGCAGUAACUGUUAGAUUCCUGGAAAGCUUCCUGGCUCACAUGGAUAAUAUAUGAACAAAAUGGACUUCCAUUGAUGACAAAAAAAAAUGGCAAAAUUACACAUGAUUGAACCCAAUGAGCAUAUUCACCAGAGCGAUUAUUACUAUUAUUUUUAUGUGAUGCGGCUUGCAUUGUGUAUUUUUUAUGCUUGCACUUCUCUUCUAGUGAACUCAAUAGGGGCAGGAACAAGAAUCUGCUGAUAACUGAUCUGUGUUGUAAUUGUGUUGGGUCUGGUUUAUGUCUAAGGAUAAGAUUCCUGUGUUUAUGUAAUUCAGACACCUGAAAAGAAAAAUGGGAGUUUGGAGCUGCAAUAACUGAGA
Anas platyrhynchos (mallard) is the source of this 3426-nucleotide non-coding RNA. NCBI's taxonomy places the organism in Eukaryota, Metazoa, Chordata, Aves, Anseriformes, Anatidae. The record is from RefSeq and is a predicted model, not a curated record.